RNAcentral lists this ribosomal RNA (254 nucleotides) under uncultured bacterium. Its description in RNAcentral is "partial 16S ribosomal RNA". It matches the Rfam family "Bacterial small subunit ribosomal RNA", at positions 524 to 776 of the family's 1533-position model. The record is from RNAcentral.
CACGUAGGCACCAAGCGUUGUCCGGAUUUAUUGGGCGUAAAGAGCUCGUAGGCGGUUCAGUAAGUCAGGUGUGAAAUCUUUGGGCUUAACCCAAAGCGUGCAUUUGAUACUGCUGUGACUUGAGUUCGGUAGGGGAGUGGGGAAUUCCUAGUGUAGCGGUGAAAUGCGUAGAUAUCGUAAGGAAGACCAGUGGCGAAGGCGGGUCUCUGGACAGUUCCUGACGCUGAGGCACGAAGGUCAGGGGAGCAAACGGG